Long non-coding RNA from Strigops habroptila (Kakapo), 2287 nucleotides. Lineage: Eukaryota; Metazoa; Chordata; Aves; Psittaciformes; Psittacidae. The record is from Ensembl.
GUAGUGUACACUGAAGGAAUUUUAAUCAUUUGCUAUGUAAAACAAUGGAUUAUUGGUUUAAAAUAAGGUUCCAAGUCACCAACCAUCGCCCUGGUUACAAUCGAGUCCUUUUUAUAGUGAUUUUAUACUGGUUAAUAGUUGGUCACACAGAACCGCCCUGUUCUGCCCAAGGAACAAGUGCAGGAUUAGGUAGCAAGAUCAGACCAUAGGUACCAUAGGUUCUUCCCACUCUGCCAGCCAGAACAGAGGAAUAUUGCUCACAUUUAACUACUGUAAGGCUUUCCUGUGGAUGUACAUCGUGUACUUGUGGAGUGCACUUGAGAGUCACAGUGUGAGUACUGUAAACACCGACAGAAGUGCAGAUAAAACAGCUACAAAUAGAUCGUAUGAGGAAAAGACCUGAGGAAAGCUGGUGAAAACAGACCUGCGAACCCUUACACUGCCACUUGGGGGAGUGGAGGCCUAUUGGCUUGCUUUAAAAUCAAUAAAAAUACUCAGAUAAAAAAAUAGAUGUCUUCACAUGAAGGAUGAGCCUUUGAGUUCUAAAAAGCAACACGCGCUUCCCUUUCCCAUGGCAGGUUAAAACUUACCUUCCACUAAGGAUACAUUAAAAUUCCACCUGAUUUGUUUUCCUGCUUGACUUUAGCACCCACGCCCAGGCACACGCUCGUGCACACACCGAGGGACUGCAGAGAAGCACCUGUAUCUAGCACUUAUUUUCUUGCUAUGGGAAGGAGCUGGUUUGGAAUCACUGCAGAAACUGCUGCUUUACUUGGCAAAUGGUCCCAGUUUAGGAUCUAGUUUUACUGGCUACUUGUUUUGUCCUUUUUCCAGAAAGCACUAGUUUAAUCUUGAGCUUGGAUUAGCUGUUCAAGUAUAAAAUUAUCCCUCUGAAGCAGGAGCACAUGCUAAAAUCUCAGUAACUAGAGGAGAGAGAAUCACAUAUAAACAAAGCUAACAGAAAACAUCUGUCAGCACAAAGAACUACCCUAUGUGUGUGUAUGCAUAUAGAGACUCUUCCAUGUCACAGCUGGAAGAAACAGGCAAUGGCUUUGAAUUACUCAGAAAUGACUAAGCAGGUGAAUAUUUCUUUGGUAAGUAAUGAAGUUUCCCUCCUAAACUCCCUGGAAAUCAGGUUUUCAAGCUUUGCUGCGAUUCUAUAUCCUGAUGCUAAGCAAAGUUUCCAUCUGCUCUUCAAUAAAUAAGUUUAGAUAAAAACCUUUCCUUCAGAGCCAGGACUGCAGCGCUGGGGAGCCACGUGCAGAGUCCCACGGCUUGAAAGUCCCUCAGACAAAUAUAAAUCAGCUUUUGGUAGCUGCUGGUGCCAACCUCGAGGGCAGGUGAAACAUGUACUUAAGCAAUCCAGGAGUGGUCUUCAGCCUGACAGCCCCGAAAGCCUUCAGCUUUGUGCAGAUUUGGUCACCCUCAUUGCAGGAGGUCACUGAGGGGUUAUUUCUCCAGCAGAGAAAGCUGUAGGACUUGCUGCAGCUCUGCAUCCUCCUCCUCACGACGCUGCUUCUCCCGCUCCUCCUGCUCUCGGACAGACAACUCCAUGGCGAGCUGCAAGUCCUUCUCAAAGCUGGAGGGCUCACUAGGGCUGCUGCACUGGGAGUUACCUGAGCUGGUUAGAAAGCUCUCCUGCAGCGCCCUGGUGGAGACAAAGAACUUCAAGAAGAGAGACAGAGCCUAUUUCACAGUUCCUGCCAUGAUCCUUCCUAGCCACUGUUCUCUAACUGCAGAGCUGACAAUCACUCGCAGGAGAGCAGGAUAAGAGAGCGGUUGUUCCAACAUCCAUAAAAUUCCCAGCAUAAAACCUGUUCUCUGAAGGUUCCUUUGAAUCUUUCACACAUGCCAACAAAUUUUCAACUUCUAAAAGCAUUCUCACCUGGUUCAAAGGCAACAUGAUCUCCCACCUCCAAAAGAAUCAAGAGGAUGCGGUUGUUGGCAUGCACAUGCAGGAAGACCCCCCAGAUACCAGAGCAUAUUCUCAAGGGUCCAUUAAAUACAUGUUGUUAAGGUUUUAAGGAUUACACACUGAUUUAAAGAAGAGCUUCCCUGAAGUGUGCAGCACCUACUAAACAUUCACCCCAGCGGGACCACAUGCACAGCUUAAAGAGCAGAACAGAAGGACAGUGUUUAUUUGUUGGGUCAGGACUCUUACACAUGCAGCCCAGCCCCACAGCUGACCUACAGAGCUGUACUAGAUAAGCCAGGGAGGCCUAGUUCAAAGUCUUUGCUUCUUGGAAAAGUACAAGUUAGAAGAAGCACAAGAAAAGAGACUUUGAGU